CCUACGGGAGGCAGCAGUGGGGAAUUUUGCGCAAUGCUCGUAAGAGUGACGCAGCGACGCCGCGUGAAUGACGAAGGCCUUCGGGUCGUAAAGUUCUUUCGACAGGGAAGAAAAUGCCUAUAAGUAACUGUGUAUGUAUUGACGGUACCUGUAUAAGCAGCCCCGGCUAACUCCGUGCCAGCAGCCGCGGUAAUACGGAGGGGGCGAGCGUUGUUCGGAGGGACUGGGCGUAAAGAGCACGUAGGCGGUGUUGUAAGUCAUUAGUCAAAGACUAGAGCUCAACUUUAGUAAGGCUAGUGAUACUAUAAUACUAGAGUAUCAGAGAGGAUUGCAGAAUUCCUGGUGUAGCGGGGAAAUGCGUAGAUAUCAGGAGGAAUACCGUUAGCGAAGGCGGCAAUCUGGCUGGAAACUGACGCUGAGGUGCGAAGGCGUGGGUAGCAAACAGGAUUAGAUACCCCAGUAGUC
This 465-nucleotide ribosomal RNA is filed under the name uncultured bacterium. RNAcentral's name for it is "partial 16S ribosomal RNA". It matches the Rfam family "Bacterial small subunit ribosomal RNA", at positions 338 to 795 of the family's 1533-position model. The record is from RNAcentral.